GGAGGAAAGCGACAAAAACAUAGAAAUUCAGAGGAAACGUUUGUCAGGCUAGAAGUAUUUACACACGGAAAAUAGUGAUGAAGUAGCAUGUUCCGGAUUAAAAUUGUCGUAUAAGUUCUCGACAAGAGGAUGAAAUUCGAUUUUAUAAUGUUUCUUGCAUUAUAUUUGCAAAUGAUCUUGGACAGCUCUGGACAAAGAUCAUGCAACGACGAUAGAUUUGUGAUUGACAGUUGCAGUGGACAGGAAAUUUCCAAUAAUAACAUUCUUAUAGAUUUUGGCAUCAUUGAAACUCGGUGUGACUGUAAGGUCAGUUUAAAUUUCUCUAGUCAGUAUUUCUACAGUUUGGCAGCAAAUCCCGGAUAUGAUGGCUGUGGGACAGCGAUAGAAAUAUCAGUUGAUAGUAAUACAACCUCUAGAUUACUUUGUACUUCCAAGCAACCAAGCACUGUAUUUGGUAAAUCUAACGAAACCAACCAUACUGUGAAAUUCAUACCUUCCGUCAAUCAGAACAUCAAAGGAAACAGUGGUUAUUGUGUACGCAUUGCAAGUAACGAAAUAUAAAAUUACUUCCAUGUCUACCGUGGCACGUUAGAAACAGAGUGGUCAACGACUGCAGGCUACCAGCUGAUCAGCACUGAUGCAGUAUUGCAAAGAAACACAUCUGGCUCCAGAGUCGAUAAGACGAACUCACUAUAGUGGAUAGUAAUUGGUGUAGCGUCCGGUGGAAGUGCGGCUAUAUUAGCAGUAUUUACAGUGAUUAUAGUCUGGAUCCAUAACAGACACAAGAAGGACGUUCCUUAUACGAAAAAGAUAGUAUCAAGUCAACAAGCUGUUGGAAAGGAGAAGAGAGUUGAAAGUGGUCUUAAGGACAACCCGUUGUAUCAAUCAGCUGAUGAAGUUUCGUACAUGCGUAAUCAGCACCCAACUCUUCCACCGAUCCGCAACAGUCUGGGUUUAAUAGAGAACACUUUAUAUCAGUCUGCAGAUGGUGAUAUACAGGUUAGAGAGGGAAGUUUAAAGAACAAGGACAGCGACAAUAUAUCUGAUCUCCCAAUGUAUUCAGAAAUAAACCAUAGCCAUAAAUAAAACAAGGAAGAUAAAGAGCUGCAUAAUUUAGAGUAAGGUCAUUGGACUAGCUGUGAUAUACUUUGGAGUACUAGAGUAUGCGCCCCAUGAAUAAGGCUUCAGGAGGGAGACUAUUUUGUGCAUUGAUGCGUGUCCAACAUGGUAUCCAGUGAAUCUUUCUUGAAUCAAAACUAGAAUGGAAAUCGAAACUAAAUAACAAGAUCACCCGUUCAUUUCUGUUCAAAACUGUGGAAUCUGUUGGUCAAUUUUGAAAGAAAGUGAUGCAAAUAAAAAUUUUCAAACAUC
RNA transcript from Ostrea edulis (European flat oyster), 1371 nucleotides. RefSeq lists it as uncharacterized. The record is from RefSeq and is a predicted model, not a curated record. The transcript has 6 exons. NCBI's taxonomy places the organism in Eukaryota, Metazoa, Mollusca, Bivalvia, Ostreida, Ostreidae.